AUUGAACGCUGGCGGCAGGCCUAACACAUGCAAGUCGAACGGUAACAGGAAGAAGCUUGCUUCUUUGCUGACGAGUGGCGGACGGGUGAGUAAUGUCUGGGAAACUGCCUGCUGGAGGGGGAUAACUACUGGAAACGGUAGCUAAUACCGCAUAACGUCGCAAGCCCAAAAAGGGGGACCUUCGGGCCUCUUUCCAUCGGAUGUGCCCAGAUGGGAUUAGCUAGUAGGUGGGGUAACGGCUCACCUAGGCGACGAUCCCUAGCUGGUCUGAGAGGAUGACCAGCCACACUGGAACUGAGACACGGUCCAGACUCAUACGGGAGGCAGCGGUGGGGAAUAUUGCACAAGGGGCGGAAGCCUGAUGCAGACAUGCCGCGUGUAUGAAGAAGGCCUUCGGGUUUUAAAGUACUUUCAGCGGGGAGGAAGGGAGUAAAGUUAAUACCUUUGCUCAUUGACGUUACCCGAAGAAGAAGCACCGGCUAACUCCGUG
Molecule: ribosomal RNA, 490 nt
Filed under: uncultured bacterium
Lineage: Bacteria
Description: partial 16S ribosomal RNA
Rfam family: Bacterial small subunit ribosomal RNA
Source: RNAcentral